CCUACGGGAGGCAGCAGUGAGGAAUAUUGGUCAAUGGCCGCAGGGCUGAACCAGCCAAGUCGCGUGAGGGAUGACGGUCCUAUGGAUUGUAAACCUCUUUUGUCAGGGAGCAAAGGGCGCCACGUGUGGCGCUUUGCGAGUACCUGAAGAAAAAGCAUCGGCUAACUCCGUGCCAGCAGCCGCGGUAAUACGGAGGAUGCGAGCGUUAUCCGGAUUUAUUGGGGUUAAAGGGUGCGCAGGCGGAAUGUCAAGUCAGCGGUAAAAUUUCGGGGCUCAACCCCGUCGUGCCGUUGAAACUGGCGUUCUUGAGUGAGCGAGAGGUAUGCGGAAUGCGUGGUGGAGCGGUGAAAUGCAUAGAUAUCACGCAGAACUCCGAUUGCGAAGGCAGCAUACCGGCGCUCAACUGACGCUCAUGCACGAAAGCGUGGGUAUCGAACAGGAUUAGAUACCCUUGUAGUC
RNAcentral lists this ribosomal RNA (459 nucleotides) under uncultured bacterium. RNAcentral's name for it is "partial 16S ribosomal RNA". It matches the Rfam family "Bacterial small subunit ribosomal RNA", at positions 338 to 795 of the family's 1533-position model. The record is from RNAcentral.